Molecule: ribosomal RNA, 1822 nt
Filed under: Triticum aestivum (bread wheat)
Lineage: Eukaryota; Viridiplantae; Streptophyta; Magnoliopsida; Poales; Poaceae
Description: partial small subunit ribosomal RNA
Source: RNAcentral
GAGGGGGACGGUGGGGGGGUGGGCGCGACGCUGCCACUGUGCGGCCAGCCUUAGAAGACGACCGUUGCGGGCCGCUGGCCGCGCACGGCACGUCGGGCUCCUCUGGGACGUCGUUCGGCACGAACGGGCCUACCCGCCUCAUGCUCGUCCUCACCUAAGGCACCACGUGGUGUUGCAGCUGCCGAAGAGAAGCGGUGGCUCGAGACGAGGGGAGGGACACGUAGUCCUACUUCCAUAUGCUGCCCGUCCACAGCGCUUUCCUUAUGAGUACCAAAGACUUCUGACUGAUACGGACUCAUGAUGUGUCGUUGUUUGAGUCAAAUAUUUCACGUUCUAAAACAUCUUCAAGUUAAAAACUUUUUCUCCCGAGUCUGUACCGCUGUUCUUACUUCCACCUCCCCUUCCUCACCUCUCUUUCUACAGACAGAGGUGCACCAAGUACACGGAUAGUGGGUAAUUGUUAUAGAGUCAAUAGACGUACCAAGAGAUUAAUCAUACAAAAGGGCCUGCUUCUCUUCUGACUAGGAAGGUUUUUUUUAAGACCCGUACUUUUUAAGACCUGCUACUAUAGUCGCCGCAAAGACAAAACCGCCGCAAUUUUGUUAGACCUUAUAUUUCCUAAGACCUCUUCAGACCUAACGUUUGGAUCCCUCAAGCCCGUGGGGCAACCUCUCCUUCUUCUGCCAUCCGCCCGAGUCCUCUACAGCGUCGUUGUCGGCAGCUCGCAAACCUGCGAGACCAACACCAAGCCGUACGCUCCGCUAGUCGUCUCCGACGUUGAGGGUGUCGAGCGCACGCCUGCUACACCGGCCUGCUUGACCGUAGACAAAACCGCCGCAAACAAGCGUACACCUACCUCGAGCAUGCGGUCCUUCUUGACCGCAGAACUACCUCGAACAUGCGGUCCUUCUUGACCGCAGAACUACCUCGAACAUGCAGUCCUUCUUAACCGCAGAACUACCUCGAGCAUGCGGUCCUUCUUGACCGCAAGCAACCGCCCAGCUUCUUCAAACUAAAAACCAGCUACCUGGAGCAGGAGCAAGCACCGCUAGCACCCCAAGGUACCUGAAGAACAAGCACACAAGAGCAAGCACACAACUUGACACCUAGACCUAGAGCAUGCACCCGACUCAACCACCCGCGACUCAAACACACAACCUGACACCUAGAGCUAGAGCAUGCACCCGACUCAACCACCCCCGACUCAACCACUAAAACGCAUGCACCCGACUCAACCACCCGACGACGCACGCACACGCUCUAGCUUCCCUCCCCCCCUAGCUUCCUCCAGCUUGGUAGUGCUGCAAGCUAGGGGGAAAUUAUCAUCUCUAUAUACUGUAACGAUGAUCUAACGGAUCACGGGGACAAGUACCACCCGAUUUGAACAUAAACGAGGACGACAACGCAAAACUACUAGUACUCACACUACGUAAAACUACUAGAGGAACAUGGUCUACUCAGGCAGCUACUUCGCCGUCGCAGAGGAGAUCUCCCACUGCCACCACCGCCGCGGACACACGCCGAAGCUGAUGUUGGAGGAGAGGCCUCGAGGUCCGGAUUCUUUCAACCUUCACGCUUCUGCACUUCUUUUCGCACUUCGGCACUUCACGAUGAAUCGUUUCUCAACAGACAAGAUAAACUGACAUUAUAACAUUAUCGACCAUAUGGAUCCAACAUUAUCAGAUGUCUUUAACAUCAUGUGAUUAGAUCACAGUAAACUGCUCAAAGUGUACAAGAGAACAAACCUUAUAAACUAAUACUUACACUAAACUAACACACACUCUACCCUUGGACCGGUCACGUUGGGUGAAUACUUUAUUAU